This 694-nucleotide ribosomal RNA is filed under the name Leptogium marginellum. RNAcentral's name for it is "SSU rRNA". It matches the Rfam family "Bacterial small subunit ribosomal RNA", at positions 401 to 1161 of the family's 1533-position model. Lineage: Eukaryota; Fungi; Ascomycota; Lecanoromycetes; Peltigerales; Collemataceae. The record is from RNAcentral.
AAUGUAUAGUUAAAACUAUAUGUUUUUUUUUGUAAAAAAAACAUAUUUGAUUUAUUCUUAUAAAGUUCUAGAUAGAAUUUGAUAAUGACAUUAUCUAUCUAUUAGUCUUGACCAACAUGCGUGCCAGCAGUCGCGGCAAGACGCUAAAGACAAGUGUUAUUCAUCUUAAAUGGGUUUAAAGGGUACCUAGACGGUAAAUUAAGCCGAAGGGGACUGAUUUAGCUAGAGUUAGAUGUAAGGGUGCGAAGGUACUGUUGAGUGUAGAGAUGAAAUUCUGUCAUACCAGAUUAUUGGCACGGGUUUAGGGAAGGCAUCACCUUAUGUAAUAACUGACGUUGAGGGACGAAGGCUUUGUGUAGCUAAAAGGAUUAGAUACCCAAGUAGUCUAAGCAGAAAAUGAUGAAUGUCAUAGGUUAAAUAUUAUUUAGUCUAUAAAUGAAAGUGUAAGCAUUCCACCUCGAGAGUAAUUUGGCAACAUUGGAAUUGAAAUCAUUAGACCGUUUCUGAAACCAGUAGUGAAGUAUGUUGUUUAAUAGAUGGUCCACAAAAAACCUUACCACAACUUGAAUAUCUUACAAGCGCUGCACGGCUGUCUUCAGUUAUACUGUGGUUAGUUCCAUUAAAUUAACGUAAACCUUUAUUUUAUAUAAAGUAGUUCGCCGUUAUAUUGGUUAGAUAAAAUUGGUUAGAUAAA